UAAUGCAAAUUUAAUGUUACUGGGACAUUGGAACGAUACAUAGAAGAUUAGCAUGACCCCUGCACAAGGAUGACACGCACAAAUGGAGAAAUGGUAUU
Small nuclear RNA from Cucurbita maxima (winter squash), 98 nucleotides. NCBI's taxonomy places the organism in Eukaryota, Viridiplantae, Streptophyta, Magnoliopsida, Cucurbitales, Cucurbitaceae. The record is from RefSeq and is a predicted model, not a curated record.